RNAcentral lists this ribosomal RNA (492 nucleotides) under uncultured bacterium. RNAcentral describes it as "partial 16S ribosomal RNA". It matches the Rfam family "Bacterial small subunit ribosomal RNA", at positions 29 to 507 of the family's 1533-position model. The record is from RNAcentral.
AGUGAACGCUGGCGGUAGGCCUAACACAUGCAAGUCGAACGGCAGCACAGUAAGAGCUUGCUCUUACGGGUGGCGAGUGGCGGACGGGGGAGGAAUACAUCGGAAUCUACUUUUUCGUGGGGGAUAACGUAGGGAAACUUACGCUAAUACCUCAUACGACCUACGGGUGAAAGCAGGGGAUCUUCGGACCUUGCGCGAUUGAAUGAGCCGAUGUCGGAUUAGCUAGUUGGCGGGGUAAAGGCCCACCAAGGCGACGAUCCGUAGCCGGUCUGAGAGGAUGAGCAGCCACACUGGAACUGAGACACGGUCCAGACUCCUACGGGAGGCAGCAGUGGGGAAUAUUGGACAAUGGGCGCAAGCCUGAUCCAGCCAUACCGCGUGGGUGAAGAAGGCCUUCGGGUUGGAAAGCCCUUUUGUUGGGAAAGAAAAGCAGCAGGUUAAUACCCCGCUGUUCUGACGGUACCCAAAGAAUAAGCACCGGCUAACUUCGUG